CUUGGCCUGGAGCAGGUGAACGGGGAGAUGUCCUCCAAAGCUCCCAUUGUUCCACGGCUCCCAGAGCCCGCCUGCAGCCUGCGGUGUUUUGUUUGUCUGCUCUUCCCCUAAAUGCUCACUUGGGAGCCGUCAAAUAAAACCUCAAUUAGCGCACUUAGGACACGAAGGGCGGUGUGGGAUGUGUUCGCUGGCAGGCAGCGUUCAUUCCCUGGCAGGCAGAAUUCCCUGGCAGCGUUCAUUCCCUGGCAGCAGCAUUCCAUCCAUCGCAGGAUCCUGCUGCUCACACCCAGCCCCGACCCCAGCAUCGCUGCUGCCCCGCCAGGGUCCCAUCGCCAUAGCCACACCACCAGUGCAUCCAGGCUGGCUCUGACACAGGAGCACCCGUGGGGAUGCUCACAACACAGCUUGUGUCCAAUACUCGGGCUUUUUGGAGCUUUUCUCUAAUGUGCAGCACAAGGGAGCUGCUGCAGUAAUUGCCAGCGACAACAGGUGUUGUAGCAGUGCUCUGAACCACCUUGAGAGCUCCACGGGGGAGGUUUUGUUCCUGUUCCACUGCCAGGUAGUUACAGCUGUCUGGUAACAGGGUAGAUAGAUGUCUGUCUGUGGUUUUCAGCAUCAGCCAUCCAAGCCAGGGCUGGUGCUUGGCCCCUGUGCUCCCCAGCCCUCAACUCCCAUCAUGUCCUGCUCCCCAGCCUGGCUCUGCUCCUGUGGCUGAAAUCCAGCCCUUGCACACAAGGGCUGUUUCUGACCCAGCAGGAUGCACAAACACGGGUGACAAUUGGCAUAGGAAGAUGCAGAGUGAUGGGUUAGGGAUCCUCUGUUUUGGUAGAAGCCCUGAUUGGGAUCCAUCACUGUGAUCACAAAUCUCAUGUCCAGUGUGACACUGCAAAAGCUGAGACCCAGACCAGCCCUCUCUGACUCGUUUUGCUUGACUGGUGCUGGAAAAAGAGGACUUGCCACCCAAACCUUCCCUCCCUUUCAGAAGCUGCUCUGAAUAUUCUACUCAGAGGCUUAGUGACUAAGCCAUUAAGCUUCUCCCUGUAUGUGAAAAGUCAAAAUAAAAUUAGUCUUUUACAAAUACUGGUGCAAUAGAAAAAAAAAUAAUUUAAGUCUAAUUAUUUCCAAGACCAGGGCAUGGGGCAUGGGACAAACUUUGGACAGAGACUGGGACCAGGGCAGCUGAAAGAGCAACUUAUGUGGGUCACAGCUUCAGACUGUCCUCUGAUGCAAGAGGGUGACAUGGCUACAAGCCAGGGACAGUUGAAAAGUAAUUCCCCAGGAAGAGCAGCUCUGUUUGCCCAAAGUAUAUGUAUGAAUCCCAACACUCAUGGGCACCACUGAGCUGUUAGGGGCUUGUGAGCAAUCCCCAUCCUGUGUGUCUGCUGGUGAAUGAUGUUCAGCUGCUUUUAUUCCUGCACACUUCACUUACGUGGGAGCAAGGAAUGUGGUGAUAAAAAGGCUGGAAUGAUUUCAGUGCUGGAUAGUUUCCAUUAAUAUAGUUCUUGUUAUGUAACGCUGCCAUCAUAGUACAAAGUCCAGGAGGGUGCCUUUUGGGAAGGUGGAACUUUUCUACAAUCUGCAGUCGGGGAGCAGUCAGGCUAAUGGAUUUUCAUUGCCUUGUGCUUCUGUUCAUCAUCCUAGGUGAGUUCAAAACACUCUUGCCUUUUUGUGUUCUCCUUUCCCUGCCCACUUGUCACAACUUCAAGUAUUUGGAGAUUAGCAAACACAUUGAUUUGCUGCCAUCAGCACCAUCUUUACUGGGGAGGAAAACACAGGGCUAAACCCCUGCACCCAGUGAUGACUUUUGGCUGCAUGAGCAUCUGUAUUUUCUGCCUGGUAGCUGCUAGUAGACAAUUCCUUACCUAGGGUGAACACUAGUUUCCUACUAUUCAGGCUGUAAUGUCCUUCAAAUUUUUUCAUUAUUUCCCCACUGGGUUCACCAAAUAUUCGUUGGGUCUCCAAACCCUCCUCUUUGUUUACAGGCUUUGCCAAGCAAGCCGUGGGGCUUUUAUUGGGGAAGGAAGGGAGGUGGCGGAGGAGGAAACUACUACAAAGCUCUUUAACAUAAACAACUUUCUCCUGAAAACUCCAGACACAGCUUGGCAGGGAACAGGUUAAAGCUAGGGGGUGAAUGGGGAGACAUUAGGGCUAAGUAAUAAAUGGCAAAUUUAUAUUGGGAGAGACACAGGGGAAGAGAUGAGCUGGCCCUAAAUGGGACCCUAAAUGGACUCUGGCUUGCUGGAAGCUCUCUGCUGCUCUGACCUCGGGGUUUGGACCUGGUUCCUCCCUAAGGCAUGCCAAAGCUGGGGGAUGCUCAGACAGAAAUCCUGCAGAACUGAUUGGGAGUCAUAUUUCAAAAGAGAAAACCCUGUGUCUGUGGUAAUUUGUUCUCCAAGGCCUCUGCUUAAGAGAUGGAAGGAUUUUCUUGAGAAGACUGAUGGAAAGAGGUGCCAGCUCAUGUCACAGAGCCCUUGGGGCAGCUGCAGCUGGGAUAACCUCUCUGGGAUAGAGACACUGUGCAAAGCCCACUGGCAAUUCACAGUGAUUAAACAAAUCUUGGUGUUUCAGGUGGCCCCACAAGAGAGCCAGGAGGGCACAGUGGGGCAGGGUUCAUGUCUGGAAGGUGAGUUUUAAACACAAGUCCUCCAUCUACAGGUGGGUUGCAUUCCUGUUGCAUCCACUGAUGAGCUGAGUCCCUUCAAAAUUCUUCUGGACCCUCUUCAGUUUUCCUGCUUCCCCAUGCACACAGCUUUGAGGAAGAUCUCUCUUUCUGCAAUCUGUCAUUUUCAUGCUGCAGUAAAUAGCUUUUUCAUCAGCUACCAUUGUAUUGUAGAUGUAAAUGCAGCACAACAGAGCCCUACAGUGUUGUGAGGUGAGUGGGUCAGAUACUGUGCUGGAACAACAAAAACACAAGGAAUGUUGAGCAGGGAAAAAAAGCUUGUUAAUAAAAUGUUUUAA
Molecule: long non-coding RNA, 2958 nt
Organism: Oenanthe melanoleuca
Lineage: Eukaryota; Metazoa; Chordata; Aves; Passeriformes; Muscicapidae
Exons: 3
Source: RefSeq, a predicted model, not a curated record